GUUGGUGAACCAGCGGAGGGAUCAUUACAGGGAGCCGAAAGGCUGCUUAACACCACUGCGAACCAAUCCUUAGGCGUUGCUUCGGCGGGCGGCCCCAGCACGGGGUCCCAGCACCUCCCCCCCUCGGGGGGGAGGGGCGCCCGCCGGAGGUACAAAACUCUCAAGCAUCUUAGUGGCAUCUCUGAGUAAUCAAGCAAAUAAGUUAAAACUUUCAACAACGGAUCUCUUGGCUCUGGCAUCGUGUAGAACG
RNAcentral lists this unclassified non-coding RNA (250 nucleotides) under plant metagenome. RNAcentral's name for it is "partial contains small subunit ribosomal RNA, internal transcribed spacer 1, and 5.8S ribosomal RNA". The record is from RNAcentral.